This 399-nucleotide ribosomal RNA is filed under the name uncultured bacterium. Its description in RNAcentral is "bacterial SSU rRNA". It matches the Rfam family "Bacterial small subunit ribosomal RNA", at positions 140 to 518 of the family's 1533-position model. The record is from RNAcentral.
GGAAUAAUACGACCGAAGGGGUACGUAAUACCGGAUAUUCUUGCUUUUCAUAAGUUAUGCAAGCAAAGGUGGCCUCUGCAUAUGCUACUGCAUGAAGAGGGGUCUGCGUACCAUUAGCUAGUAGGUGGGGUAAUGGCCUACCUAGGCGACGAUGGUUAGCGGGUCUGAGAGGAUGAUCCGCCACACUGGCACUGGAACACGGGCCAGACUCCUACGGGAGGCAGCAGUGAGGAAUAUUGCGCAAUGGGGGAAACCCUGACGCAGCGACGCCGCGUGAGUGAGGAAGGCCUUCGGGUCGUAAAGCUCUGUCAAGAGGAAAGAAGUGUACAAUGGCUAAUACCUGUUGUAUUUGACGGUACCUCUAAAGGAAGCACCGGCUAACUCCGUGCCAGCCGCCGC